AAUGGACGGAACACCUUUAAAAGAAAUUCCAGCAACAUGUUUCAUUUGUUUAGAAAAUAAACGAUUUUAUUCCAUAAAAGGAAAAAAUGCAACGGAAGACGAAAUCAUCCAAAAACUAAGUUCAAUAUCAGAAGUAACCAGUUUCAUAGUUAUCACGGAUGUGAGCUGAGAGAUACAGAGGUUGCCAGUGAGAACACUCAGUUCCAUAAACUUUGUGUAGAAUCAUCAGAUUCAACUGUAAUGAACUGGAGCCAUUGUAAUAUAUGUGAAUCGUAUAAACAGUAAAAACUCGAAAGCACUAGUCUUUGUUAGUCAACACCGCACACCAAUCGGACAAUUGCUACGAACCACGGCUUGGUCUUGCCUCAUAAUAUAUUGACUAUUAUAGACCUUCACAAAGGUCAGGGGUAAAGGUCGAACCAUUAUAUUUCUAUCAAUCGAUCGUAGGUCACGAUAUACAUUAUUACACGUAUACUUAUCUUUACUAACAAGGUACUUUCGAAACACAAAUUAAACACAGUACACAUACAGUAUGAUGUUACCAUAGUGAGGUGACAAUGGUUACAAAUAUCAUUUAAAUGAGUUAUCUAACAUCAUUAUAAGUA
This is a long non-coding RNA of Mya arenaria, 605 nucleotides long. RefSeq lists it as uncharacterized. Lineage: Eukaryota; Metazoa; Mollusca; Bivalvia; Myida; Myidae. The record is from RefSeq and is a predicted model, not a curated record. The transcript is spliced from 3 exons.